AGCGAACGCUGGCGGCAUGCCUAACACAUGCAAGUCGAACGAGAUCUUCGGGUCUAGUGGCGCGCGGGUGCGUAACGCGUGGGAAUCUGCCCUUUGGUUCGGAAUAACAGUUGGAAACGACUGCUAAUACCGGAUGAUGACGAAAGUCCAAAGAUUUAUCGCCAGAGGAUGAGCCCGCGUAGGAUUAGCUAGUUGGUGUGGUAAAGGCGCACCAAGGCAACGAUCCUUAGCUGGUCUGAGAGGAUGAUGAGCCACACUGGGACUGAGACACGGCCCAGACUCCUACGGGAGGCAGCAGUGGGGAAUAUUGGACAAUGGGCGAAAGCCUGAUCCAGCAAUGCCGCGUGAGUGAUGAAGGCCUUAGGGUUGUAAAGCUCUUUUACCCGGGAUGAUAAUGACAGUACCGGGAGAAUAAGCUCCGGCUAACUCCGUGCCAGCCGCCGCCGUAA
This 449-nucleotide ribosomal RNA is filed under the name uncultured bacterium. Its description in RNAcentral is "partial 16S ribosomal RNA". It matches the Rfam family "Bacterial small subunit ribosomal RNA", at positions 29 to 523 of the family's 1533-position model. The record is from RNAcentral.